GAGCUGGUAACUUUGUCCCCUUCUCCCCUGACAGUCUUAAGAAGAGCUAUCUGGGCAUCAGAGUUCUCACACUAGCAGAAUUAACUACCUUCUCUAUUCAGUUCAGUGGCUCUCAAAGUCCCAUGGAAAAUGCAGUUUUAGCCUGUUUAAAAAUCUUUCUUUUGGUAUACAUGUAUGUACACGAGCACAAAAGGAAAUUUAAAAUUUUUUUAAAAGAAUUUUAGCUGGAUUGGGGAGAUGAUUUGGCUGCUAAGUGCUGAGUGUGCACACUUGGACAUACGAUUUAGUCCUCAUCACCCACCUAAAAAGCCAGACAUAUAAUCCCAACACUGAAAAAGCUGAGAAAGACAGAUCCCAGGAGCUCACAUGAUCCCCCAUCCCACUGGAGCCCAAAGAAUGAGUGUCCACUUCAGUGAGAAAGCCUGUCUCAAUAGAAUAAGUAGUCACAAGAUGGUACCUGACAUCCUGCUCUGACUCCUGUGCUCAUUUGGCUGCAUGUACCUGUACACUCAAUGUGCCCCUAGACACACAAAUGCAUCUGUGUACUCACAUGUGCCCCUAGACACACAAAUGCACCUGUGCACUCACAUGUGCCCUUACACACACACACACACACACACACACACAUGUGCACCUGUACACUCACAUGUGCCCCCACAAAUGAACCUGUGCACUCACAUGUGCCCCUACACACACAAAUGCACCUGUACACUCACAUGUGCCACUACACACACAUGCACCUGUGCACUCAAAUGUGCCCCCCCACAAAUGCACCUGUGCACUCACAUGUGCCCCUACACACAUAUGCACCUGUGCACUCACAUGUGCCCCCCCACAAAUGCACCUGUGCACUCACAUGUGCCCCUACACACACACACAUGCACCUGUGCACUCACAUGUGCUACCCCACAAAUGCACCUGUGCACUCACAUGUGCCCCUACACACACACAAAUGCACCUAUACACUCACAUGUGCCCCUACACACAUACACACAUGCACCUGUGCACUCACAUGUGUCCCCCCACAAAUGCACCUGUGCACUCACAUGUGCCCCUACAUACAUAUGCACCUGUGCACUCACAUGUGCCCCCCCACAAAUGCACCUGUGCACUCACAUGUGCCCCUACACACACACACACACACACACACACACACAUGCACCUGUGCACUCACAUGUGCUCCCCCACAAAUGCACCUGUGCACUCACAUGUACCCCUACACACACACACAAAUGCACCUGUACACUCACGUGUGCCCCUACACACACACAAAUGCACCUGUGCACUCACAUGUGCCCCUACACACACACAUGCACCUGUGCACUCACAUGUGCCCCUACACACACACAAAUGCACCUGUACACUCACACGUGCCCCCACACACAAAUGCACCUGUACACUCACAUGUGCCCCUACAUACAAAUGCACUUGUGCACUCACAUGUGCCCCUCCACAGACACAAAUGCACCUGUGCACUCACAUCUGUCCCUACACACACACAAAUGCAUCUGUACACUCACAUGUGCCCUCCUCCACACUCAAAUUUUUAAAAUAAUUUCUCACUACUCUUCUUUGUUAGCCUCAUUUAAAAUGAAGUAUGGAUAGAGGAGAGCUACUUGUUCAUAGUCUGGUUUAUUUUUCUGAACCCUAAGCUGUGUGGCCAUCUGUCCAUGUGUAUAUGUAGACAGUCCUCUCCCCUGCACUACUGUUACUUAUAGACUAUUAAACUAUGGUAUGUUUUAGUAA
Molecule: long non-coding RNA, 1746 nt
Filed under: Mus musculus (house mouse)
Lineage: Eukaryota; Metazoa; Chordata; Mammalia; Rodentia; Muridae
Description: predicted gene, 46735 (Gm46735)
Source: RNAcentral